This 1182-nucleotide long non-coding RNA is filed under the name Sorghum bicolor (sorghum). Its description in RNAcentral is "long non-coding RNA (SBIC_LNC000662)". The record is from RNAcentral. Lineage: Eukaryota; Viridiplantae; Streptophyta; Magnoliopsida; Poales; Poaceae.
AAAAACUUUAUACUAAAAUAUACUGUAUUAUAUAUUUAUUGUGUAUCUACUUAUGUGGAGUCCAACAAAAUUAGAUUUUCUAUUUUAUGCUUUUUCUGUGAUUUAAUAUGAUUUUUCGAAUAUUCAGUCGAAAUAAUUAAAAAAAAGACAAACCACAUUACCGUAGCAAAACCACCAUUCACUGUAGUAAAACUGCCUUCAAAAUCUCUUCAGGGAGAUAAAAUAAAUGGUUUGAAAAGUUGAUGAAUGUGGUUUGCCUGGUUUUAGAGUUAAGAGAGAAAAAGUAAACUUUCAUAAAAAGUGAGGGUGCAAAAGUAGAUUUUUUUUUCUUUUUUUAUGAAACCGAGGCGCGGGGUAUGAAGUACCUAGCCAGAGGCCUCCUAGUCUCGCUGUGUAAGUCGGGAUGGUGGGUGUUAUAAAACAUAUUGCUAGUGGUUAGAAUCUUUCCCUCUUCGUCUCUUAUGAUUAAUACAGUGAAUUGAAAGUACAUAACAAAUAGACAUAAGAUAGGGAAACUAUUCUUUAUUUAUCUGAAUAUUGGUGAUUACAACAUAGAGCUCCCACGUAUAUAUAGUCCUGUCAAGGCUUAUGAGUUUUGGUAAGAGUCCACAUACAAAUAGACUAAGAUUAGGAUUUCUCCCCUUUUCUUUCUAAUUAUUGUUCAACCAUAGACUAACUACGCUCAAAAGACCCGUCUUACAAAUUACAAGCACACUGUACAAUUGAUUAUUUCUUUUAUCUAUAUUUAAUACUCUAUACAUACAUCCAAAAAUUCAAUAUGAUGAAAAAUCUUAAAAAAGUUUACGAACUAAACAAGGCUUUAUUAAAAUUUAGCCAUAGGACACCACGCCCUAGUCUCACUCUCCAAUUGUGUCACUCUCCUUUCCCAUCUCCAUGAAAAAGGCAACGGCAGCGAUGGCGGGGGCAUGGCGUUAGUGGGCGGGUGUUGUCGACACGAGAGUGCAAAGCUGAGGCCCGUUGAAGAUGGCGACAGGCUCGAACGCUUUGUCCUCAACAGAUCCGCAUGGAGCGCAAGGCACAGUCGUUGUGCCCUUUAUGUUAGGUGACGACAAUUAUGAAGCGGAUGUCCAGAACCUAAAACAACCUAGAUAAAUGAGUUCUACCCUUACAUGAAUCAUGACUGGAUGAGUUAUUUGUUAGAUGACGACAAUUAUGAAGCGG